Molecule: transfer RNA, 72 nt
Filed under: Camelus bactrianus (Bactrian camel)
Lineage: Eukaryota; Metazoa; Chordata; Mammalia; Artiodactyla; Camelidae
Also listed under: 2 other names
Rfam family: tRNA
About the family: Transfer RNA (tRNA) molecules are approximately 80 nucleotides in length. Their secondary structure includes four short double-helical elements and three loops (D, anti-codon, and T loops). Further hydrogen bonds mediate the characteristic L-shaped molecular structure. tRNAs have two regions of fundamental functional importance: the anti-codon, which is responsible for specific mRNA codon recognition, and the 3' end, to which the tRNAs corresponding amino acid is attached (by aminoacyl-tRNA synthetases). tRNAs cope with the degeneracy of the genetic code in two manners: having more than one tRNA (with a specific anti-codon) for a particular amino acid; and 'wobble' base-pairing, i.e. permitting non-standard base-pairing at the 3rd anti-codon position.
Source: Rfam by way of RNAcentral
CGGGGUAUAGCUCAAUGGUAAAGCACAAGCCUAGCAGGCGUAUGGUCCUGGGUUCAAUCCCCGGUACCUCCA